RNAcentral lists this ribosomal RNA (995 nucleotides) under uncultured bacterium. RNAcentral's name for it is "bacterial SSU rRNA". It matches the Rfam family "Bacterial small subunit ribosomal RNA", at positions 355 to 1375 of the family's 1533-position model. The record is from RNAcentral.
UGGGGAAUAUUGCACAAUGGGGGAAACCCUGAUGCAGCGACGCCGCGUGGAGGAAGAAGGUCUUCGGAUUGUAAACUCCUGUUGUUGGGGAAGAUAAUGACGGUACCCAACAAGGAAGUGACGGCUAACUACGUGCCAGCAGCCGCGGUAAAACGUAGGUCACAAGCGUUGUCCGGAAUUACUGGGUGUAAAGGGAGCGCAGGCGGGAAGACAAGUUGGAAGUGAAAUCUAUGGGCUCAACCCAUAAACUGCUUUCAAAACUGUUUUUCUUGAGUAGUGCAGAGGUAGGCGGAAUUCCCGGUGUAGCGGUGGAAUGCGUAGAUAUCGGGAGGAACACCAGUGGCGAAGGCGGCCUACUGGGCACCAACUGACGCUGAGGCUCGAAAGUGUGGGUAGCAAACAGGAUUAGAUACCCUGGUAGUCCACACCGUAAACGAUGAUUACUAGGUGUUGGAGGAUUGACCCCUUCAGUGCCGCAGUUAACACAAUAAGUAAUCCACCUGGGGAGUACGACCGCAAGGUUGAAACUCAAAGGAAUUGACGGGGGCCCGCACAAGCAGUGGAGUAUGUGGUUUAAUUCGACGCAACGCGAAGAACCUUACCAAGUCUUGACAUCCCUUGACAGGCAUAGAAAUAUGUUUUCUCUUCGGAGCAAGGAGACAGGUGGUGCAUGGUUGUCGUCAGCUCGUGUCGUGAGAUGUUGGGUUAAGUCCCGCAACGAGCGCAACCCUUAUGGUCAGUUACUACGCAAGAGGACUCUGGCCAGACUGCCGUCGACAAAACGGAGGAAGGUGGGGAUGACGUCAAAUCAUCAUGCCCUUUAUGACUUGGGCUACACACGUACUACAAUGGCGUUAAACAAAGAGAAGCAAGACCGCGAGGUGGAGCAAAACUCAGAAACAACGUCCCAGUUCGGACUGCAGGCUGCAACUCGCCUGCACGAAGUCGGAAUUGCUAGUAAUCGUGGAUCAGCAUGCCACGGUGAAUACGUUCCC